UUUUAAAUCACGUUGCUCAUUUAAUUUUUGGUUGAUUACAAUUAUAUAUAAUCAGAUGUAUAAUUAUAUAAUUAUGAAUCAAUAUACAAUACUAAAAGGGGAAUAAGGGCUCCCCUCAUGCUUCCACGUCGGAUCAUAAAAUCGGCCAAUAAGAAUGCAUCAAACUUCCACGUCAUUAAUGAGUUAAUUAGUUUUGUUUGGGCCUCCGUUGUUUUCGGUCCGUCUAUUCUGAAGUCUAAAGCCCAGAUUGAGCAACCGAAGGGCAGAUGUGUUACGCGAUGAAUGUCGACUUCCAUCUCUUCCAUUUCUCUCUUAUCCUGAUCCGUUUCGAUGAGUAAUUUUGCUACUAAUUGCUCUCAUCAAACCUGAGAUUGAGCUCAUUCAAUGGAUUCCUUUCAUCUUCUUCUAAAAUUUUCUAUAUAUAGAACUCUUUUCAUAGCUUAUGUCUCCAUUAAAGUUCAUAAGAUUCUCUCAUUUACUCAUCACGAUGGAACCCACCGGCAAGUCUACCGUCUCCGGCGAACCCAAGCCCAUCAAGAAGACCGUCGCAACCUCCGCGACUGCGAAACCAAACGGGAAGUCCACUGCUUCUUCCGCGACUGUGAUGAAACCUAACGAGACAACUGCUGUUUCAUCCGCCAAUUCGAUGAACCCAAACGCUGUUACCGCUCAAUCUUCCGCGCAUGGCGUCAAUUCGGUUUGUGUUUGUUGAUUGAUUUGAUUUUGAUUGGUUUUGAUUCUUUACACAGGUGGGAGCUGUGAAGCCGGAAGAUUCGAGUGCCUCAGGUGUGAAUCAAAAGCCAUCUCCUCCGGUGGGAUCUCCAGCUCAAGGCUCUGUUGUUGUGGCACAAACCUCACCCGGUGCUUCAUCUGUUAGAUCUGUUCCUUCGACAAGCGUUAAAAAUAAACCAGAUGUUGUUCCAGCAAGGCAAACCACCAGUAUUUCAUUAAGAGAUGAUUCUGAUCAUGAUGAUCUUGAUGGAGACAUGGAAACAGCUGAUAAUGGAGAUCCUACUGAAAAUUAAGCGUGCUAGGAGACAAACAUCACGUUCACGCGUUCAGCUAAGAAACGAGUCAUCUCCAUCAUGGCAUCCUUGAAGAGUAGUUCACCAUUGAAGAGAAACACAUGGGUACAACGACCUUUUCGCAUUAGUGGAUUUACUAACAGAAAUGUUCAAAAAAUAUCACCAACCCCAAAGACUUUGGCCCAUCAUAAGUGAAGCCAACGACUUGCUCGGUACCGGUUUCCUAUGCUUUAGCUUGGAGGGUGAAACUCUAGAAGGGCAGCUAUCCAGACAGUUAUCAACUACAAAUCCUAACCUCUUAUCAGCAGUGGAUAUAUAUCAGCUCUCAGAUUAUAUGGUCAUCCCGAAUAAUCGCAGACACAAGCUGACUCCGCAGCCGUUCUUUAUUCGUAUCAACCGUGAAGCGAGUGUGAUAAAAUUAGAACACACGAUCUCAGGCUUUCCUGCACAGAAAUACUCUCCUCUCAACUUCAUGCAGCUAAUAGACUCAGCAACUGCACGCACAUACCUUCCAGGGCAGAUGUAGUAGGCCAGAUAUUUAUCAUGCAAGAUGACUACCCCCACUACCCGGAAUAUCAAACAAAGCUGAUAAUUGGUUUGCGUAUAAACGGAUGGAUGAUGGUGAAGCUAACGCUAUGGGGAAACGAAGCAUCUCUUUUCCGGCAACUACAAGCCAUGAGCCAUCGGAAGUACAAAGUUGUUUUAGUAACAAGCAUUAUACCAUGUAUGUGUAAAGGGAAACUCUUGCUAGCUUCAUCAUCCGCAACUCAGUUUUUCUUUGAUGAAAAUAUCAAGCACAUCAGUGGCUUCAGAAGCAAAAUAAGCAUUGGUGGGGAAUAGCUAAUGACGUCGAUCCAGAGAUUUGAACGUGUUCUACGCAUUGAGUGUAGAACGUCCAGGAAUAUACUCUGCUCCUGAAUGCUUUCGUGCUGUUCAAUUGUUGGCCGUAUUUAGACAUCGCUAAUGCUUCCCAUUCAGUGUUUUUUUUUUAAAUAUUUCAAUCAAUUUUAUAUUUAUUACACCUUUAUAAAGGAUACAUUUCUAAUAUAAGCUACGAUAGCAAUCGA
This is an RNA transcript of Brassica napus (rape), 2092 nucleotides long. RefSeq lists it as uncharacterized. The transcript is spliced from 8 exons. Lineage: Eukaryota; Viridiplantae; Streptophyta; Magnoliopsida; Brassicales; Brassicaceae. The record is from RefSeq and is a predicted model, not a curated record.